UCUUCCUGGAUUGAUGCAUUGUACCCAUCAAAAAUAGAUCCUCCUAUUAGUGAGGGUUUGAGUUCUGCGAACCCCGGGUGGUUACUCAGACGGCACCACCACAAGUUUACAUCAGCCGUUACAACUUCAUUAGGGCAAUUUCACAAACACCUUGUGAGCAAGGGUUCUAUUCUAACACACCUAGCCUCACGGAACCAUCAAUUCUUCCUCCAAAUUAACCAUUCAAACUUCACCGUUUCACCCUACCACAAUUAGUUUGUACACACCAAAUCACACACUUCUCUACAACAUUGUGCACAGAACCACUAAAAAGUAGACAAGAAAACCAAAAGAAGGAAAAAUCUACUAGAAAUACUGCAACAAUUAACGCAAUAAACUUACAAAAUACUACAACAAAAAUACAAGAGAAGAGAGAGAAGCUUGACAUACCUGGUUCGACUAGAGGGUUAGAGGAGAUGGAGAUUGGGGGAGAGAGUGGGAGAUGGGUAGGAGUGUGAGAGAGGUGAAGAAGAAGAAGAAGAAGAAAGGAGAGAAGCGUUAGGGUUCUUAGAAAGAGAGAGGAGAUGGGUGAAAGUAAGGGGGG
Molecule: long non-coding RNA, 583 nt
Filed under: Nicotiana benthamiana
Lineage: Eukaryota; Viridiplantae; Streptophyta; Magnoliopsida; Solanales; Solanaceae
Description: long non-coding RNA (NBEN_LNC032112)
Source: RNAcentral